GUUACCAUUCCCUCUCCCAUAUGCUCCAACUUUUAUGUCUGUUUUGCCAUCUAUUCCAUUAACCUUAUGAUUAAUGAAAGUCUCCAGAAUUUUAAAUACCUUGAAAGGGAGCCAACGCCUGGUCUUUGGAGGCUAUGUUGAAAAUAAACAACGAUAAAAACGGGGAGAUGCAGGCUUUUGAAGUCCUUAAAGACACGACCACUGUGAUCUUUGUACCACGGUGCAGAAAAGAGGACAGCAUUUCACAUUUCUGGCAUUACUCACGACAACACAGCCACUGAAAGCGAGCAUGAAUUUCUGGGAGUAGCAUUAGGAUACAGGGCUCCUGCUGAGCUCACCAGUUCCUUGCUCUGCACAGCUGCCUUCUCAGCUGGGGGUUUUUAAAUCAGCACAGUGAGAAAAGAUAGCAAUGGCCAUGAUGCAUCUUCCUCCCUAUGAGAAAAAGUUAUGGGAGAAGGAUUCUGAACUUCUCGUGGCUGUGCUGACAUCAGUAAGAGUUGGAGAAAGUAUACAUUUAAGAAAACGUAUACAUUCCCACCCACAGGAUAUUAAGAUUUUGAUUCUGCAUUCUGAGAUUUCAAAGCUGGAGUUGAUAUUUUCAAAUAAACAGUUCUUUAAGAGACACAGGAACAUCUUACGUUAGGACCACGCCACGAAGGGGCUUUAAAAAAGGUAUAUAUAGUUCGCAGUGUUCGGUCAAGCAGGGCAACUAUUUUACUAGGCGUGAAGGCAAAGGUGUCCUUUGUUAAGCAGAUUGUGACCAGUCCCUGCUAUGGUAAAAGAUUAACAAACACUUCAUUAGCCGAUCAUAAACAAGCGGGAAGCAUCAGGGAACUUGCCACAAGAAGAAAACGCACGCUUUAAUUUGUUACAAGCAAGGUGGAUUUUUUCCCCCUCCUCUUGCUCCUAUUUCUGGCAUCAAUAUAAUUUAAAAGUUUCUCUGAAGAACAAGGCAAUUAUUUACAAUCUGAAAACGAAUGUGAUACAAAGGCAGUCUAUUUGCACUUUUAGAAAAACCUUUAUUUAAAUGCAUUGCUUCUGCUAUUCUCUCGCACAGUUUCCUAGAUUAGAUUAAAAUGCUAUUCUGCGCUCCAAAUAGUAUGUUAAUGUCCCAGUUCAUUCAACAGGCUUUUAGCAACCACUUAGGUUCUCCCCUGUGGCAGGUACUCUGUCAAGUGCUGGGGACCAGAGAGGAACCUGCAGUCUCUCUCUUCAGUGAAUUAAGCUUUGUGUGGCAAGGGACAUCUCCAAGGCAGUAUAGUGAAUGCUGUCAUAGAGUAAUGAACUUGUGGGUUGGCGGAACAGAGAUCGUUCCAAUACUUUCUCACUCUUCAUCCUGAAUCAGCCUCGGUGUCUUGUAUGCUGACCACUGCCCUUAUCUUAUACUUUCUUUCCUGUUUUCACCCCAGUCUUUGGAUGUGUCACAGAGCGUCGCUUCUUGGUUAUAACCUUGGUUUAUCUCAGUUCUGAUUUUCCUUUCCACCUGUGCUGAGCAAGUCAAUUUGAACAUGGCUCUUCUGGAAUGAUUUUAAUUGCUACGAUGGUAUGGCUACUUCUCUCAGUAGGAUAAUCCUGCCACAAUUCUUCCAACAUUGCACUUUACUUACCUUCUGGAAAGCAGACUUCAAGACUGUUGACCUGUCCGUUGGCCCCAAGCGAUAGGGUGUGUAGGAAACAUUUCUUCCUGAGGGAUCCUCUCAAGGGGAGUGCUUGGACAACAGCUUCACCGAAGGCACACCUUGUUCUUAAUUAAAUGCUACUUGUCACUGGUA
Long non-coding RNA from Felis catus (domestic cat), 1772 nucleotides. RefSeq lists it as uncharacterized. The record is from RefSeq and is a predicted model, not a curated record. The transcript has 3 exons. NCBI's taxonomy places the organism in Eukaryota, Metazoa, Chordata, Mammalia, Carnivora, Felidae.